RNAcentral lists this ribosomal RNA (274 nucleotides) under Enterobacter asburiae. RNAcentral's name for it is "partial 23S ribosomal RNA". It matches the Rfam family "Bacterial large subunit ribosomal RNA", at positions 2135 to 2408 of the family's 2925-position model. Lineage: Bacteria; Pseudomonadati; Pseudomonadota; Gammaproteobacteria; Enterobacterales; Enterobacteriaceae. The record is from RNAcentral.
UGUGUAGGAUAGGUGGGAGGCUUUGAAGCGUGGACGCCAGUCUGCGUGGAGCCAUCCUUGAAAUACCACCCUUUAAUGUUUGAUGUUCUAACUCUGCCCCAUAAUCUGGGGUGAGGACAGUGUCUGGUGGGUAGUUUGACUGGGGCGGUCUCCUCCCAAAGAGUAACGGAGGAGCACGAAGGUUAGCUAAUCACGGUCGGACAUCGUGAGGUUAGUGCAAAGGCAUAAGCUAGCUUGACUGCGAGAGUGACGGCUCGAGCAGGUACGAAAGUAG